GAGACUUUGUACUGCGUCGACCGCGUCAGACGCCAUUAUGAGCUGGGGCAACUAGAAUGCAAUUGCCCGCAAGCUUGUGUGGAAACGUUAUUCUUGAAAUCAACUUCCAUCGCUGCGUGGGCAAAAGAUGUGGGUGGAAGCUCCAAUGCGAACAGACAACGGACGAGAACACGAAGUUC
Molecule: long non-coding RNA, 179 nt
Organism: Rhipicephalus sanguineus (brown dog tick)
Lineage: Eukaryota; Metazoa; Arthropoda; Arachnida; Ixodida; Ixodidae
Exons: 3
Source: RefSeq, a predicted model, not a curated record